UCCGAUAUAGUCUAACGGUUAGGAUACGUGGCUCUCACCCACGAGGUCCGGGUUCGAUUCCCGGUAUCGGAA
Molecule: transfer RNA, 72 nt
Filed under: Spiromyces aspiralis
Lineage: Eukaryota; Fungi; Kickxellomycota; Kickxellomycetes; Kickxellales; Kickxellaceae
Description: tRNA-Glu
Rfam family: tRNA
About the family: Transfer RNA (tRNA) molecules are approximately 80 nucleotides in length. Their secondary structure includes four short double-helical elements and three loops (D, anti-codon, and T loops).
Source: RNAcentral